AAUCAACGCUGGCGGCGUGCCUCAGACAUGCAAGUCGAACGAUUAAAGCUCUCUUCGGAGAGUGUAUAGAGUGGCGCACGGGUGAGUAACACGUAAGUAAUCUACCUUUGAGUGGGGAAUAACGUCCGGAAACGGACGCUAAUACCGCAUAAUGCAGCGGCAUCGCAAGAUGACAGUUGUUAAAGAUUUAUCGCUUGAAGAGGAGCUUGCGGCAGAUUAGCUAGUUGGUAAGGUAAUGGCUUACCAAGGCUACGAUCUGUAACCGGUCUAAGAGGACGGUCGGUCACACUGACACUGAAUAACGGGUCAGACUCCUACGGGAGGCAGCAGUCGGGAAUUUUGGGCAAUGGGCGAAAGCCUGACCCAGCAACGCCGCGUGAAGGAUGAAGUAUUUCGGUAUGUAAACUUCGAAAGAAUGGGAAGAAUAAAUGACGGUACCAUUUAUAAGGUCCGGCUAACUACGUGCCAGCAGCCGCCGCCGU
RNAcentral lists this ribosomal RNA (482 nucleotides) under uncultured bacterium. RNAcentral describes it as "bacterial SSU rRNA". It matches the Rfam family "Bacterial small subunit ribosomal RNA", at positions 32 to 524 of the family's 1533-position model. The record is from RNAcentral.